CCUACGGGGGGCAGCGGUGGGGAAUAUUGGACAAUGGGGGCAACCCUGAUCCAGCCAUGCCGCGUGUGUGAAGAAGGCCCUCGGGUUGUAAAGCACUUUCAGUGAGGAAGAACGCCUGGUGGUUAAUACCCAUCAGGAAAGACAUCACUCACAGAAGAAGCACCGGCUAACUCCGUGCCAGCAGCCGCGGUAAUACGGAGGGUGCGAGCGUUAAUCGGAAUUACUGGGCGUAAAGCGCGCGUAGGUGGCUUGAUAAGCCGGUUGUGAAAGCCCCGGGCUCAACCUGGGAACGGCAUCCGGAACUGUCAAGCUAGAGUGCAGGAGAGGAAGGUAGAAUUCCCGGUGUAGCGGUGAAAUGCGUAGAGAUCGGGAGGAAUACCAGUGGCGAAGGCGGCCUUCUGGACUGACACUGACACUGAGGUGCGAAAGCGUGGGUAGCAAACAGGAUUAGAUACCCUAGUAGUC
Molecule: ribosomal RNA, 465 nt
Filed under: Vreelandella stevensii
Lineage: Bacteria; Pseudomonadati; Pseudomonadota; Gammaproteobacteria; Oceanospirillales; Halomonadaceae
Description: partial 16S ribosomal RNA
Rfam family: Bacterial small subunit ribosomal RNA
Source: RNAcentral